CUCCUACGGGAGGCAGCAGUGAGGAAUAUUGGUCAAUGGACGCAAGUCUGAACCAGCCAUGCCGCGUGCAGGAAGACGGCUCUAUGAGUUGUAAACUGCUUUUGUACGAGGGUAAACGCUCUUACGUGUAAGAGCCUGAAAGUAUCGUACGAAUAAGGAUCGGCUAACUCCGUGCCAGCAGCCGCGGUAAUACGGAGGAUCCAAGCGUUAUCCGGAUUUAUUGGGUUUAAAGGGUGCGUAGGCGGUUUGAUAAGUUAGAGGUGAAAUACCGGUGCUUAACACCGGAACUGCCUCUAAUACUGUUGAACUAGAGAGUAGUUGCGGUAGGCGGAAUGUAUGGUGUAGCGGUGAAAUGCUUAGAGAUCAUACAGAACACCGAUUGCGAAGGCAGCUUACCAAACUAUAUCUGACGUUGAGGCACGAAAGCGUGGGGAGCAAACAGGAUUAGAUACCCUGGUAGUCCACGCAGUAAACGAUGAUAACUCGCUGUCGGCGAUACACAGUCGGCGGCUAAGCGAAAGCGA
Molecule: ribosomal RNA, 524 nt
Filed under: uncultured bacterium
Lineage: Bacteria
Description: bacterial SSU rRNA
Rfam family: Bacterial small subunit ribosomal RNA
Source: RNAcentral